GCUGGGUGUGGUGGCUCACAUCUGUAAUCCCAGCAUUCAGGAGGCUGAGAUGGGCGGAUCACCUGAGGUCAGGAGUUCAAGACCAGCCUGGCCAACAUGGUGAAACCCCGUCUCUA
This 116-nucleotide non-coding RNA is filed under the name Homo sapiens (human). The record is from Rfam by way of RNAcentral. Lineage: Eukaryota; Metazoa; Chordata; Mammalia; Primates; Hominidae.